GCAAAGUUUGGAGUUUGGACCAAAUAAUAUGUUUGUUAAGUGAGCAUGCAGAAAACUGAAAAUGGUUCAUAUCAAUUGUGUUGAGGAAACAAGUCCAUAUAGAUAUAAUACUUUUAACUGGGAGGCAUCGGUAUGCUUUGGUGGUUGGGAAGGCCGAUGAGGCUAAGGCUAUAUCAGUUGUUGGGAAUGUAUUUCUCAAGUAUUUUAUAGUUAGUGGUACUGAAGAGGCAUUAGGAAAGGUGAGCUCAAUUUUUGAUCAACUCAGAGCAAUGUAGUGCCACUAAUUUUCUCAUGUUGGCAGCUAGUGCUCCUAUAAUUUGCAUGACUACUGACCUGCAGCUCCUCUCUCUAGCUUGUAUUGUUUCCAGUGGUUGUUGUUUCAUACAGGAAAAUUUGAAACUGUUCAUUACUACCUAACAAUUACUUUGGCCUUGGUUAGUAUGGAUUCGUGGCUCCUAAGAAUAGCACUUUGAUUUUUCCUGUUCUGUCAAUUUUUGCUUUUGUUGAUAUGAACACUGCCUUUGU
Molecule: long non-coding RNA, 525 nt
Organism: Panicum virgatum (switchgrass)
Lineage: Eukaryota; Viridiplantae; Streptophyta; Magnoliopsida; Poales; Poaceae
Exons: 3
Source: RefSeq, a predicted model, not a curated record